GUGCAUUGCAGUGCCAGGCAGGAUAACACCACUAAGGUUAAACGACAAGGCUCUGGCUGCAGUGUAUUGCAGUGCCAGGCAGGAUAACACCACUAGGUUAAACGACAAGGCUCUGGCUGCAGUGCAUUGCAGUGCCAGGCAGGAUAACACCACUAAGGUUAAACGACAAGGCUCUGGCAGCAGUGUAUUGCAGUGCCAGGCAGGAUAACACCAC
This is a long non-coding RNA of Coregonus clupeaformis (lake whitefish), 214 nucleotides long. RefSeq lists it as uncharacterized. The transcript has 3 exons. NCBI's taxonomy places the organism in Eukaryota, Metazoa, Chordata, Actinopteri, Salmoniformes, Salmonidae. The record is from RefSeq and is a predicted model, not a curated record.